GCUGGGCAUGGUGGCACAUGCCUGUAAUCCCAGCAGCUUGGGAGGCCAAGACAGGAGGAUCGUGAUUUCAAAGCCAGCCUCAGCAAAAGCAAGGCACUAAGCAACUCAGUGAGACCCUGACUCCA
RNAcentral lists this small RNA (125 nucleotides) under Marmota monax (woodchuck). Lineage: Eukaryota; Metazoa; Chordata; Mammalia; Rodentia; Sciuridae. The record is from RNAcentral.